This 516-nucleotide ribosomal RNA is filed under the name uncultured bacterium. Its description in RNAcentral is "bacterial SSU rRNA". It matches the Rfam family "Bacterial small subunit ribosomal RNA", at positions 10 to 518 of the family's 1533-position model. The record is from RNAcentral.
AGUUUGAUUAUGGCUCAGGAUGAACGCUAGCGGCAGGCUUAACACAUGCAAGUCGAGGGGCAGCGGGAUGUAGCAAUACAUUGCCGGCGACCGGCGGAUGGGUGCGUAACGCGUAUGCAACCUACCUUAUACAGGGGAAUAACCUUUCGAAAGGGAGACUAACACCCCAUGGUAUUGAUUUAAGGCAUCUUAGAUUAAUUAAAUAUUUAUAGGUAUAAGAUGGGCAUGCGUAUGAUUAGCUAGUUGGUAAGGUAACGGCUUACCAAGGCGACGAUCAUUAGGGGUUCUGAGAGGAAGGUCCCCCACACUGGUACUGAGACACGGACCAGACUCCUACGGGAGGCAGCAGUGAGGAAUAUUGGUCAAUGGGCGCAAGCCUGAACCAGCCAUGCCGCGUGCAAGGAAGACGGCCUUAUGGGUUGUAAACUGCUUUUACAUAAGACUAACCGUAUAUUUGCGAAUAUACCUGAAUGUAUUAUGAGAAUAAGGAUCGGCUAACUCCGUGCCAGCCGCGGC